CCAGUACAGACCCUUGAGUGACAUCACUCAUUACUGGUUUCCACUUGGAUAUGGAGUUGGAUUAUUAACUCUUUGGACAUAACCAUCCAGCAAUUCCUUAUCCAUCUAACAGUCAUCCAUCAAACCCGUAUCUCUCCAGUUUAGUGGCAAGAAUGUUGUGGAGGACCAUAUCAAGGGCCUUACAGAAGUCCAGGUAGAUGACAUCCUGUAGUUCCUCCUGUGUCCACUGAUGCAGACAUUCCAUUGCAGAAGGCCACCGGAUUAGUCAGGUCUCAGGUGCUUCAAUUUUAUUACCGUACAUAAAAUGUUCUUUUCUUCCACAUUUCUACUUUGCCUCCUGCCUACAACCUCAAGAAAAGGUUGGAGCUUGAAGUGCAGAGUGAAGCUUUAUGGCCUUGAUUUUGGAAGAGCUCAGAUUAGACAGUUUUCAAUUAUUUCUUCUAGAACUGAACAGACACUGGACAGCGUUUCCAAUAGCGAUUGGUCCUGUUCAGUCAGAGAAGAAUUGGAAAUGCAGAGAUGGAUGGAGUUCCCUGCUGGGUUUGAGUGUUCACAGGGUAGCUGUGGCCAGACUGUACCGAAGAGAGUUACUAAGAUAAAUUGCUCCAUAGUUCUGCACCUGGGCACUGUCUGUGAGAGUGCUAGUUGUUGUGGGCCAGUGUGAAGGACAACUAUGCUAACAAAUAAUUCGGAUGAUACUAGGGAAAACUCUUAAAAUCUAGUUUGGAAGAGUCUUUGAAGAAUCUAGAGAUUGUUAAAAGCAGAUGUCACAGCUGUCUUGAGUAUAGCGAGAAGGAGGAAGAGGAACUCUCCUGAGAAGCCUGACAGUUUGCAAGAAAGAAGUUGGUACUAAGCUGUGAGCCCCAAGUUCCCACAGAUUUUGCAUGUGUGUCUCUCCAGGUGAAGAAUUAUGUGAGGCACUUGGAAUUACGUGUUUGACCUCCUUUAUUAUGUUUUCUCUAGUAUCGCAUUAGGCAAUGACAAGUAAAAACCUGGACUGGGUUGCUGAAGACGUAUUAGACACUGAGAGGACAAGUGAGAUUAGGAGAAUAGCCCUCUGACCUUUAGAAAGAAACAGCUGUCACUUCCAGAAGCAUCCUGCUUUGCUGUCAAGUUUCAAGAAAAACAUUGAAUACAGGUACAGCGUCAUUUGAAGAAAUACAAAUAAGGAAUAAUGUGGAGUAAUUGAACACUGAGCAAAUCCACUUGAAAACACUUGUUAGCAAGUCAGUCAAUAAAAUGUUCCACACACUUCCAUUUGAGGAGCUUCUUACUUUAUGUGUUAUAUGCUGUCUUGCUUAGACAAUGCUAUGUAAUGGUGCAUGCCUUUAAUCUUUAACAUAAAGAUUCCUUCCCCAGUAAAAUCCACAUUAAGUACCUCAAAGUUACUUUUGGAAAUAAUUCCAGCUUCUAAGUAAUUUAUGAACUUUAUGUAGUUAGCACUUUUGGGGGGGCAUACUUUUUUUCACUUGAGUGUGAUUAAUUUGUUAAAGUUGAUUGCCUGAUACUUGUGCUUGGUUUUCACCAGUUUAUUAGUAGUUAAGAAUGGUAUCUGACUUGACUGUAUUUGUAUAUUGAGAGAACACAUGCAAAUGCUGCAUAUGAUGUGAAAUUUUCAGGUGUGUGCUAUGUUGUAAAUCCUUGCUUAUAUAGCACUAGAAACUUCUAAUGUGCAAGGAAGAGCCCCAUUUCAAAUACUGCUUUACUAUUCAGUACCUACUACGUAGAAAUUGAUGAGCUUUUAUUCAUGCUGAUUUCUUUCUGUUAAGCAUAAGUUUGUAAUUGUUAGAGGUUCCCUCCUCAUUCUGAAAACAAUCACGGGAGUUCACUCAUAUGAAGAAGAGAAAUACAGGAUUUUGCAGGGAAAGGAACAAAAUGAGAACAUAGCCCAGAGCUUUUAGGCCAGCACCCAGUCCUUUAACUCGGUCUGAUUCAAGUUGGUUUGCCUCUGUAGCUAUUUUCGCCCCUUCCUCUCUACUCUAAUUUUAUGCUGUUGCAGGAGGGACAGAUAUUACUGUGUGAGACGCAGUGCCCACUAUGUGUUCAUGCAACACCAUCAUGAUACAUGUAAUUUGUAUUAUUCACGUUUGUGGCCAUGCAACAUGAAGGAGCGCAAAAUAAUCCUCUGGAGUGCUACAGUUGUCAGCCAUUUUGUUAUAUUUUGUUCUGUUCUGUAGCCUGAAUCCAGCCAUCAACUUUAUUUCUGUUCUUAAAGGGAAAAUUAUCAUGUUCAUUUUACAGGAUUAAAAAGAUUUAUUGGGUCUUCCUGUAAAACUGCAGUGUAGAAUUUGUUGUGAACAAAAUAGAGCUGACUCCAUUGACUAUAGCAGAAUAAUUUGCAGCCAGAAUUGAAUUGUGCUCUUAAAAUCUAAUUUUAACAAGGUUUUCAGAAAUAGGCCGCAGUAGCUUGAUUUUUGUUCUACCUGUAUUUUGAAUUUUAGGGAAAACCUAACCUUAGAGUGUUAAUGCAGUUGUAGCAUACGGAUAUGGAAUAGAAAUGUGUUUUCAUGGAAACCCAAUUUAAGUUACUGUGUUGAACCACUCAACACAGCUGGAUUCUUCAUUCAGAUUCUCUGUAAAUUCCUGAUCUCAACAUAAUUCAAACACACAAUUCUCGCAGACUUUUUCUUUGAAGCCCUUGCAGGACUAAUCCAAAUAGGAGGUGCAAUAGAAAGCUCCACUGUAUUAUAAGACUGGAGUUUAUCUAAUGACUUCAGCAUCCACAGAGUGUAAAUCACAUGAGUUCUUUUCUUGUCUAAACUAUUUUGAACAAGGUCUCUUUUACAUGCUAGUUUGGCAAGCUUCUAAGGCAUUUGUGCAAAGUGAUGAUGCAAGAGCAACCUGAUUCAACACUGAGAAAUUCAUAAAUAACAUCCAGCAGUAAUUAAAGAGAAAAACUACAGCUAAGAAAAGCAAUCACCCUACAGUAUCAGUUGAGCUACUAUACUCUGCAGUGUCAAAAGUGGAAUAUGUUUACUGGUGCCUUCAACUCAGGAGGUAUCGUUGUGAAUUUUAAAUAUACCAAGGAUUCAUUCUGAUUUUUACAUAGAUCGAAUUGGAUUAACAGUGAUUAAAAACCCAUGAAUAUAUAUGUAGAGAAAGGAUAAGAGUGGAAGAAAAACCACAGUGCCAGAAAUUACCAUCUGGAAACAUACUAUACAUGUAGCCAGUAUUUUUGUAUUAAAAUGAAGUUAACCUUGAAGUCCAAAAUGGUUUUAAGAUAACUUAGCAUGCUCUAUAAGGCCAUUCUCAGGAGUCAAGUGCAUGAUAUUCAAGAUGGGGAUAUUUAUAAAGGACUUCAGUUUGAAGAACUGGAAUAGCCAGCUGAUGUCUUUACCAUCUUGAUGAGAAAGUCUGUGCUAUUUUCAGUAAGUACACACUAAAGUCACAAAAAAACCCUAUAAAUUCUUUGUCUGGAUUUCUCCUUAGAUUAGGGUUAAAUGGCAGGUAACGUUCACACAGAGCUUAGUUGUUCAGUUUUUAUGUAUGCAAAACUCAACAAAGUAGCAGAAUUUAGGUAGCUGGUAGUAUAGCAAAUAAUGGGUAUGUCUUAAAAGUAGCAUUCUGAGGCUUUUUUACUAGUUUAGCAAGCUCUCCUCUGAACGACCUGCAGAGCCUGGAUUUACCAGAAGGAACACUUGGCCCUGUAUUGUGUAAAACUUUGUUCAGCACAGCCUCAAAAGUCAGUUCAAAGAUGCUUUUUUUUUGAAAAAGGUGAGCAGGAAAAAACUGGACAAAAAUUUAGUUCCUAUCAGGGUACAGCUGUGGUUGUUCUGCUGUGGCACACAAUCCAUGCUUUUCUGGUCUUCAAAGAGAAGGUGAGAGUAGUUGUGGAUACUAGUUCAUGCUUCAGGCAGAAAAAAGUGGUAGCUGGCCCAAAGCAGCUUGAGACUUACAUGUGAGAUUUGUAAAGUGGCCACUGUGUUGUGUUCUUCACCCUGUGGCUACAGGAAUUUUUGUGGUUAUGCUUUUGAUAUCAGCCAGAUGUUGGGGGAAUUCACAUUUUAUUUAUUUUUACACCUUGGCAGGACACAAUAAUUCAGCUGUGUUGUGGAUUAGUUGAUAAUGAAGACAGGAAUAAUUUGUGAAAUUUAGUUCUAGAACAGGGCUUGGCUAAAAAUGCUCAGGAUUAGAUGUGCUUUUGGUUUGGACCAACAUCUUUCACUCAUUUUUUGUCUUUUUGUGACUCUAGUUUUAGGUACUAACCUGUAAACAUCACAAUAUGUAGUCUUACUUAGGAAGUUCGCUGUAUGCCUCAGUAGUAGAUACAAGAUCUUUAGCAGGACUUCACAUGAGGAACAGUUAAACAAAAGCUUGUAUGAAUAAGGCACUAGUAAAUGUUUGCAGCAAACAACAAUUACAGUCUAUACUUUAAGAAUAAAGCCGUUCUGUUUAGGAAAUUGCCUUUAAUAUGACAGAGUUACCAAUGCCAGUUAGAAGGGGCUUAGAUAAAGUGCAUCUUUUGGAUUAUGUCUGUGAGGUCUGUGAGAAACCACUGAAUGCAAAUCCCUCUUAAGUUUGGAAAUAGCCUGUGCAAUGGUGAUACUCAGGAGAGCUAAAGGAAGAUGAAACUGGUCUAGAUUCUGAUCCCUGCUAAACCAACGUGAAAUCACUGUAAUGGAUUUGCUCCAGAUUUAUUUACGUUGGUAGAAGGAUCUGAAGCCAGAAUUGAGGCUGCUGUGGCAAAUCUAGUUAAACAGGAACAGUGCAAACCCAAAACAAAUAAUUGGGUAUAAUUGCCUUAAACAGCCUCAAAGAAGAAUCUGGUAUUUUUAAUUUCCUGCUUGCUGAAGUCCAAGGAUGCACUUUGUCUUUUUGUGAAUGUAACAGACCAAAGCCUUCUGUACUACUUUGGAGCUGCUGCCAUUCUAAACAGUUACUAAAAUAUCAAUCCAUACUUUAUACCAAAUGAAACUCGAGUCUGCCAGUCUGUUUGUAGGAUGGCUGGUUACUAUUUUGCAUUAAAAGUUGUUCAAAAAACCCCAAACUCUUCCAUUCAUAAAACCAGAACAUACUGCCACUUUUAAAAUGUACUUUUACGUAUCAGCUCUUUUGGGGGGGGUCACUGAAGCACCAGAAUUUGUUUAUCAAGUCAGUAAGAAUGCAUCUGUAAACUAAUGGAUCUGGUUAAUAUUCAUGAUUGUAUUUCCCUAGGAUUUGUCCAGUAAAACUACUACGUCUGAAUCAUUCAUUUGGUAUACUAAAUGGAAGGUCAGUGGUAACUCCACAGUCUGAUUUAAUCACUAAGUCCUGCUUUGUAAACAGACAGCUUAGCUCUAUCAUCUGACAAAUUUCUGUUCCACUCAGAUCCUCCAUUAUUUGUACAAGAUGUCAUUUAAAAAACUUUUCACGUGUUUCUAGUAUUCAGAGGGAAAAAAAAUCACAUUGAUUCAUUCUUGUAUAUUAUUGCCAUCAGGUGCUACAACAAUUAACAACUCUGGACAGUGGGGUUUUUUUGUUUGCUUGGGGUUUUUGUAUCUUAUGUAAGGACUUGAUAUUAAGUUUAUCUCAAGCUUUAAGAUCACCCAUCUGUGGGGACCUCAGAAGCUUUACAAAUAUCUCAAUCAGCUUUUAAAAAUGUGGGGUUUUUGUUUGUUUGGUUUGGGUUUUUUUUAGCUUUGAUUCAUAAGACUAAAUUCAUUGGUGGUAUAACUUGGCUGAAUUUUUCACCAGAAAUUAAUCUGGGCUAGUAUUUAUUUCUUAAACAAAACAAAAAAACCCAACAAGUAAAUUAAGUGCUGGGGAUCUCUCUCCCAUACUUGCUAUACAUAUUCUAAAUUAUAUACAGAAGGAAGAAAAUACAGAAAAUUCUCUUCACAAAGAUCUUUUUCCUUCAUAGCAACUCAGGAAACUCUAUUUAGAUAUGUUUCCUGUAUGAAUGUCAGAAUAUAUGCUUUUCUCUGUGUGUGGAGGCUAAUAAAUGGCAUGUAUUUAUCUGAAUAAUAGAAAAUGUUAAUAAGCAUUAGAGCUGUGCAGAAUCCUUUCUGUAAAAGUUGAUAACUUUAAAAAUUUGUUAUGUCAUUUUCAGUAAGAUGAUGUAAAUCUUGGCAAUUGCAAAAGAAACAAACAUUCUUUGUCAAAAGUGUGCCUUUUGUGGUCAUAACUAGUUUUGUGGUGUCUCUCUAGCUGGCAAUUUGAAGUUGUGCAUAUGUUACCUUAUUAGAAUUUCCUCAGCUGUGCUUACUUUAAAAUAAAUUUGAACUUUUUUUUUAA
This is a long non-coding RNA of Aquila chrysaetos chrysaetos, 6213 nucleotides long. RefSeq lists it as uncharacterized. The transcript is spliced from 6 exons. The record is from RefSeq and is a predicted model, not a curated record. Lineage: Eukaryota; Metazoa; Chordata; Aves; Accipitriformes; Accipitridae.